UCCUCGAUACUGUUGUCUUUUGGCCGAUCACAGUAACAGAUGUCUCUUAAACUCGCACUUUACUUAGGCACGUACGAUUAGGCGAGGAAUUUAACCAUAUCGAACUAGAUUUUUCUUGGGAAAAGAAAUCUAUCAGAACUUGAGAAGGAGAUAUUAUAUUCAUUGUAACUGUUAGAAAUUCAAUUAAAACCACACACAAGAUGAUGGGAUUCAAAAUAAACUUGUUAUUCAUACUUGUUGUCUUUAGCAUGUUUAGCAUGGGCUACCAAUGUCCAUCAAAGCGAGAUGAAUAUUGUAACCUUAGGUUUGACUCUGGUCCUUGCCUUUCACGAUUGUCAAUACAGAAUGCAAGUUAUCAAUGGAGAUAUUGGUUUUCGACAGAAACCGAAGAUUGUCAUACUUUCAUGUACGGGGGCUGCGAUGGAAAUAAAAAUAAAUUUAUAAGUU
Linepithema humile (Argentine ant) is the source of this 447-nucleotide long non-coding RNA. RefSeq lists it as uncharacterized. Lineage: Eukaryota; Metazoa; Arthropoda; Insecta; Hymenoptera; Formicidae. The record is from RefSeq and is a predicted model, not a curated record.